UACGAAGGGGGCUAGCGUUGCUCGGAAUCACUGGGCGUAAAGGGCGCGUAGGCGGCGUUUUAAGUCGGGGGUGAAAGCCUGUGGCUCAACCACAGAAUUGCCUUCGAUACUGGGACGCUUGAGUCUGGUAGAGGUUGGUGGAACUGCGAGUGUAGAGGUGAAAUUCGUAGAUAUUCGCAAGAACACCGGUGGCGAAGGCGGCCAACUGGACCAGUACUGACGCUGAGGCGCGAAAGCGUGGGGGAGCAAACAGGAUUAGAUACCCUGGUAGUCCACGCCGUAAACGAUGAAUGCCAGCCGUUGGGGGGCUUGCCUCUCAGUGGCGCAGCUAACGCUUUGAGCAUUCCGCCUGGGGAGUACGGUCGCAAGAUUAAAACUCAA
This 381-nucleotide ribosomal RNA is filed under the name uncultured bacterium. RNAcentral's name for it is "bacterial SSU rRNA". It matches the Rfam family "Bacterial small subunit ribosomal RNA", at positions 524 to 904 of the family's 1533-position model. The record is from RNAcentral.